UAUUUAAUGGUGUGUGAGCACGGAAAAUUUUGAUUUUUCAGGUUUUGGUUCGCCAUUUUAGAUAA
RNAcentral lists this transfer RNA (65 nucleotides) under Pseudocellus gertschi. Its description in RNAcentral is "tRNA-Gln". The record is from RNAcentral. Lineage: Eukaryota; Metazoa; Arthropoda; Arachnida; Ricinulei; Ricinoididae.